GGGUUGUGAGGUUAAGCGAAUAAGCGUACACGGUGGAUGCCUAGGCAAUCAGAGGCGAUGAAGGACGUGCUAAUCUGCGAAAAGCGUCGGUAAGGUGAUAUGAACCGUUAUACCCGACGAUAUCCGAAUGGGGAAACCCAGUAUCCAAUGGAUACUAUCAUUAACUGAAUCCAUAGGUUAAUGAGGCGAACCGGGAGAACUGAAACAUCUCAGUACCCCGAGGAAAAGAAAUCAACCGAGAUUCCCCUAGUAGCGGCGAGCGAACGGGGAGCAGCCCAGAGUCUUAAUCAAUAGCAGUGUCAGGAGAACGGUCUGGAAAGUCCGGCAGUAAAGGGUGAUAGCCCCGUAUCUGAAGAUGCUGUUAUUGUGAACUCGACGAGUAGGGCGGGACACGUGUUAUCCUGUCUGAAUAUGGGGGGACCAUCCUCCAAGGCUAAAUACUCCUGAUUGACCGAUAGUGAACCAGUACCGUGAGGGAAAGGCGAAAAGAACCCCGGCGAGGGGAGUGAAAAAGAACCUGAAACCGUGUACGUACAAGCAGUAGGAGCCUCUUUAUGGGGUGACUGCGUACCUUUUGUAUAAUGGGUCAGCGACUUAUAUUCUGUAGCGAGGUUAACCGUAUAGGGGAGCCGUAGGGAAACCGAGUCUUAACUGGGCGAAUGAGUUGCAGGGUAUAGACCCGAAACCCGGUGAUCUAUCCAUGGGCAGGUUGAAGGUUGGGUAACACUAACUGGAGGACCGAACCGACUAAUGUUGAAAAAUUAGCGGAUGACUUGUGGAUGGGGGUGAAAGGCCAAUCAAACCGGGAGAUAGCUGGUUCUCCCCGAAAGCUAUUUAGGUAGCGCCUCGUGAAUUCAUCUUCGGGGGUAGAGCACUGUUUCGACUAGGGGGUCAUCCCGACUUACCAACUCGAUGCAAACUGCGAAUACCGAAGAAUGUUAUCACGGGAGACACACGGCGGGUGCUAACGUCCGUCGUGAAGAGGGAAACAACCCAGACCGCCAGCUAAGGUCCCAAAGUCAUGGUUAAGUGGGAAACGAAGUGGGAAGGCUCAGACAGCCAGGAUGUUGGCUUAGAAGCAGCCAUCAUUUAAAGAAAGCGUAAUAGCUCACUGGUCGAGUCGGCCCGCGCGGAAGAUGUAACGGGGCUAAACCAUGCACCGAAGCUGCGGCAGCGACACAAAGUGUUGUUGGGUAGGGGAGCGUUCUGUAAGCCUGCGAAGGUGUACUGUGAGGUAUGCUGGAGGUAUCAGAAGUGCGAAUGCUGACAUAAGUAACGAUAAUGCGGGUGAAAAACCCGCACGCCGGAAGACCAAGGGUUCCUGUCCAACGUUAAUCGGGGCAGGGUGAGUCGACCCCUAAGGCGAGGCUGAAAAGCGUAGUCGAUGGGAAACGGGUUAAUAUUCCCGUACUGGUGGUAACUGCGAUGGGGGAACGGAGAAGGCUAGGUUGUCCGGGCGACGGUCGUCCCGGUUCAAGCAGGUAGGCAGAGUGAUUAGGCAAAUCCGGUCACUUAAUGCUGAGAUGUGAUGACGAACCACUAAGGUGGUGAAGCAAUUGAUGCCCCGCUUCCAGGAAAAGCCUCUAAGCUUCAGGUUACCAACAAUCGUACCCCAAACCGACACAGGUGGUCAGGUAGAGAAUACUCAGGCGCUUGAGAGAACUCGGGUGAAGGAACUAGGCAAAAUGGUGCCGUAACUUCGGGAGAAGGCACGCUGGCGGUAGGUAAAGUCCCUUGCGGACGGCGCUGAAGCCAGUCGAAGAUACCAGCUGGCUGCAACUGUUUAUUAAAAACACAGCACUGUGCAAACACGAAAGUGGACGUAUACGGUGUGACGCCUGCCCGGUGCUGGAAGGUUAAUUGAUGGGGUCAGCCGUAAGGCGAAGCUCCUGAUCGAAGCCCCAGUAAACGGCGGCCGUAACUAUAACGGUCCUAAGGUAGCGAAAUUCCUUGUCGGGUAAGUUCCGACCUGCACGAAUGGCGUAAUGAUGGCCAGGCUGUCUCCACCCGAGACUCAGUGAAAUUGAACUCGCUGUGAAGAUGCAGUGUACCCGCGGCAAGACGGAAAGACCCCGUGAACCUUUACUAUAGCUUGACACUGAACAUUGAGCCUUGAUGUGUAGGAUAGGUGGGAGGCUUUGAAGUGUGGACGCCAGUCUGCAUGGAGCCAACCUUGAAAUACCACCCUUUAACGUUUGAUGUUCUAACCUAGGCCCAUAAACUGGGUCGGGGACCGUGUCUGGUGGGUAGUUUGACUGGGGCGGUCUCCUCCUAAAGAGUAACGGAGGAGCACGAAGGUUGGCUAAGCAUGGUCGGACAUCAUGCGGUUAGUGCAAAGGCAUAAGCCAGCUUGACUGCGAGAGUGACGGCUCGAGCAGGUACGAAAGUAGGUCUUAGUGAUCCGGUGGUUCUGAAUGGAAGGGCCAUCGCUCAACGGAUAAAAGGUACUCCGGGGAUAACAGGCUGAUACCGCCCAAGAGUUCAUAUCGACGGCGGUGUUUGGCACCUCGAUGUCGGCUCAUCACAUCCUGGGGCUGAAGUAGGUCCCAAGGGUAUGGCUGUUCGCCAUUUAAAGUGGUACGCGAGCUGGGUUUAGAACGUCGUGAGACAGUUCGGUCCCUAUCUGCCGUGGGCGUUGGAAGAUUGAGAGGGGUUGCUCCUAGUACGAGAGGACCGGAGUGAACGCACCACUGGUGUUCGGGUUGUCAUGCCAAUGGCAUUGCCCGGUAGCUAAGUGCGGAAGAGAUAACCGCUGAAAGCAUCUAAGCGGGAAACUUGCCUCGAGAUGAGUCUUCCCUGUCGCUUUAAGCGACCUAAAGGAACGUUUAAGACUAAGACGUUGAUAGGCUGGGUGUGUAAGCGUAGCGAUACGUUGAGCUAACCAGUACUAAUGAACCGUGAGGCUUAACCUGACAACACCGAAAGUGUUUUG
RNAcentral lists this ribosomal RNA (2932 nucleotides) under Proteus mirabilis. RNAcentral describes it as "bacterial LSU rRNA". It matches the Rfam family "Bacterial large subunit ribosomal RNA". Lineage: Bacteria; Pseudomonadati; Pseudomonadota; Gammaproteobacteria; Enterobacterales; Morganellaceae. The record is from RNAcentral.